GGCGGCGUGCUUAACACAUGCAAGUCGAACGCGCAGCAGUUUGUAGCAAUACAGAUUGUGGGCGCGUGGCGAACGGGUGCGUAACACGUGGAUAACCUUCCUUCAGGUGGGGAAUAACCCAGUGAAAAUUGGGCUAAUACCGCAUAACAUGACGAUGGCUCAUGCCGUUGUCUUCAAAGGCGCAAGUCGCCAGAAGAGGGAUCCGCGGCCGAUUAGCUUGUUGGCGAGGUAAUGGCUCACCAAGGCAUUGAUCGGUAGCCGGACUGAGAGGUUGGCCGGCCACACUGGAACUGAGACACGGUCCANACUCCUACGGGAGGCAGCAGUGGGGAAUCUUGCACAAUGGACGAAAGUCUGAUGCANCAACGCCGCGUGGGGGAUGAAGCUUUUCGGAGUGUNAACCCCUUUCGACCCGGAAGAAA
This 422-nucleotide ribosomal RNA is filed under the name uncultured Acidobacteriota bacterium. Its description in RNAcentral is "bacterial SSU rRNA". It matches the Rfam family "Bacterial small subunit ribosomal RNA", at positions 38 to 450 of the family's 1533-position model. Lineage: Bacteria; Pseudomonadati; Acidobacteriota. The record is from RNAcentral.